UAAUACGGAGAGGGCAAGCGUUGUUCGGAUUUAUUGGGCGUAAAGCGCGCGUAGGUGGCAUGGUAAGUCGAAUGUUAAAGACCCACGGCUCACCCGGGGGUAUGCGUCCGAUACUGCCGUGCUAGAGUGCGGGAGAGGAAAGUGGAAUUCCUGGUGUAGCGGUGAAAUGCGUAGAUAUCAGGAGGAACACCGGUGGCGAAGGCGGCUUUCUGGCCCGCAACUGACACUGAGGCGCGAAAGCGUGGGGAGCGAACGGG
RNAcentral lists this ribosomal RNA (257 nucleotides) under uncultured bacterium. RNAcentral describes it as "partial 16S ribosomal RNA". It matches the Rfam family "Bacterial small subunit ribosomal RNA", at positions 521 to 776 of the family's 1533-position model. The record is from RNAcentral.